ACAUCUCUCCAUAUAAAUAAGGAUGCGUAAAGGUAAUGCUCAUCAAUCCAGUUUGACCAUGAAUAACGAAAUGAUGUCUCGAUUUCUAUUGUUUGCAGCUGUUCUAGUUGUUCUGUGUUCCAUCGCACAAGGUGAACUACUGUGCUAAACUUGUGUCAGUCAAGGAGGAGCAGAUGACGCUUGCAAAACGAAUCCCGCUGCGGUUACCAAUAACCCCAUCGUGCAAUGCAAAUACAAAUACUGCACAAUUCGUCGUCUUGAGUACAAAUCAGACCCAGGGACCAUUUUUAGUUUCUUACGCGGUUGUGAAGAUGAGCCUCUUCCAAACGGGGAAAAUCCUGGAGAAGAUAUUGUUGUGUGGGCACAGUCAUGUAACUUCGCCGACUUGUGCAAUGUAGGUGACGGUCUAGAAGAGAUAACACCAGAAAGUUUGGCUUAGAGGUGGCAAAGAUAACUCGAAAGUCAUAAUCAUAUACCUGUGUCCGGUACUUCUUUGACGAUUGAAUAAAUCCCCUCGGUCAUCUUAUUGGUUGCUUUAUUUCGUCACCAUCUGUAUCGAUUGUAGAGAAACCAUGUGAACACAAAUAAAAAUAUAAUACAGUUUCGUCUAAAAGCGUGGAUUAAAUACAUUUCAUCUCCAUUUUUAAUACGAGAAUGUUAUAAUUAAAUGCUUCAAUUUA
Molecule: long non-coding RNA, 680 nt
Organism: Daphnia pulex (common water flea)
Lineage: Eukaryota; Metazoa; Arthropoda; Branchiopoda; Diplostraca; Daphniidae
Exons: 3
Source: RefSeq, a predicted model, not a curated record